UACAUAGGGGGCAAGCGUUGUCCGGAUUUAUUGGGCGUAAAGAGCGUGUAGGCGGCCAGGUAGGUCCGUUGUGAAAACUCGAGGCUCAACCUCGAGACGCCGGUGGAAACCGUAAAGCUAGAGUCCGGAAGAGGAGAGUGGAAUUCCUGGUGUAGCGGUGAAAUGCGCAGAUAUCAGGAGGAACACCAAUGGCGAAGGCAGCUCUCUGGGACGGUACUGACGCUGAGACGCGAAAGCGUGGGGAGCGAACAGG
RNAcentral lists this ribosomal RNA (253 nucleotides) under uncultured bacterium. Its description in RNAcentral is "partial 16S ribosomal RNA". It matches the Rfam family "Bacterial small subunit ribosomal RNA", at positions 524 to 776 of the family's 1533-position model. The record is from RNAcentral.